Molecule: ribosomal RNA, 304 nt
Filed under: Foraminifera environmental sample
Lineage: Eukaryota; Foraminifera
Description: partial Bacterial small subunit ribosomal RNA
Rfam family: Bacterial small subunit ribosomal RNA
Source: RNAcentral
UCAUGUCGGGGACUCUAGGGAGACUGCCGGUGUUAAACCGGAGGAAGGCGGGGAUGACGUCAAGUCCUCAUGGCCCUUACGACCAGGGCUACACACGUACUACAAUGGUGGAAACAAACCGCUGCAAACUCGCGAGAGUAAGCUAAUCGGAAAAACACCAUCUCAGUCCGGAUUGAAGUCUGCAACUCGACUUCAUGAAGUUGGAAUCGCUAGUAAUCGCAGAUCAGCACGCUGCGGUGAAUACGUUCCCGGGCCUUGUACACACCGCCCGUCACACCAUGGGAGUUGGCUCUACCCGAAGGCG